Molecule: long non-coding RNA, 2520 nt
Organism: Equus caballus (horse)
Lineage: Eukaryota; Metazoa; Chordata; Mammalia; Perissodactyla; Equidae
Source: Ensembl
CACAAAUGUUCAUAGCAGCUUUAUUCAUAAUAGCCAAAAAGUGAAACAGCCCAAAUGUCCAUUAACAGAUGAAUGGAUAAACAAAAUGUGGUAUACACAUACAAUGGAAACUUAUUCUGCUGUAAAAAGGAAUGAAGUCCUGCUACAUGCUACAACAUGGAUGGCCUUAAAACUUUACGCUACCUGAAAGAAGCCAGACACAUAAGCUGUAGGAUUCCACUUACAUGAAAUGUCCAGAAUAGGCAAAUCUCUUGAGACCGAAGCAGAUUAUUGUUUGCCAAGGGCCAGGGAAAGAGUCAAAGGGAAUAACUGCUAACAAGUACAGGAUUUCUUUUGGGGAUGAUGGAAAGGUUCUGGAAUUAGUGCUAAUGGUCACACUCAUUACAACAUGCUAAAACCAAUGAGUUGUACACUUAAAACAGUAACAUUUAUGUUACAUGAAUAUUAAAAAACACUAAUAAGAAAAAAAACACCUUACAUCAGACCACGAUCUUCCACUAGUUAAAACUCUGCAAUGGGUUCCUAUAGUACCUAGAGAAAAUCCAAUCUUCUUCCCCAGGCCAACAAGGCCUAUAGGACGUGACUCCUACCUGCCUCUCCCGUCUCACCCCACAUGACUCCCUUCACUUCCCAUCCUCCACUUACAUUACAUUCCAGGCUCAAUGGCCCUCCCACUUCCAACUCAGGUCUUUACACUCAAUCCUCCUCCCGCUUGGAGUAUUCUUUGCCAAGGGCUUCUCAUGGCUGCCUUUCUUAUUACAAAGCUCUCAGAUCAAUGUCGCCCCUUCAGAAAAGUCUCCCUCACCAUCCCCACCACUGUCUAUCACAUUACCUGUAUUAUUUUCUUCAUGGCAGUUAUCACUAUCUGAAAUUGUUUGUUUAUACAUACAUUCUCUGAGAGCAGAAAUUUUGUAUGUCUCCACUGCUAUCACCCAAGGGCUAAGAAUCAUGCCUGGCACAGAGUAGAUGCUCAAAAAAUACAUUCUGAAUGAAUGAAUAGGACCUAAUUUAUGUACGUUGGAAAUUUAGACAUUUUGAAGGUCUCUGGGGUGCUGACAGAGCUGUACCUGAUUUGAAUGAGAACCUCAGGAACCCCACUCCUUGACACAUUGAGGCCACGUGCAUAGCAUCUACGGAGUGAGGUCACUUGGCAAUAACACCUUAAGUUCAACAGCGUGAAGAGUAAGAAAUAUAACACGUGGAUGUUCCAGAUAACGGAAGCUUACCGUGCAAAUUCUUGGGCCCCCUCCAGACCUACUGAAUCAGAAUCUCUGAGGGUGGGGCCCAGCAAUCCGUGUUCUAAUAGCACUCUAGGUGGUUCUGAUGCCUGGUAAUGUUAGAGAACCAUCACUUCACAGCAUAAAAACUUAAAAAGUAUUCAUUAUAUUAAAUUAUUCCUCUAAUAUGUUACAAACUUCCUUGCCUUCUGGAACAGAACAGACUAAACAUAAAGCGCUCCUUUCUUGUGAGGCCAGAGACACGAUGAUGAACACUCCUUCUUGCCCAGGGCCAGUGUAACGGGUAGCACAUCAGACAAGACACUUGAGCAGCACGCUGCCAGGGCCAUGGGCCAGCCAGUCACCUCAUUCAGGCAGCCGUGUUUCGGGACCCCCCAGCCCUGGUCAUUAUUCAUAACAACACUGGGGGGCUCUUCAGCAUGCGGCUUUAUGAAAACAAUGCAAACUGAAACUGAAUCAGAGUAUAAAAGAAAAUGCAUGCCGUUCACUAACACACCUGCAUCUAAUACUACUACAAACACUGCCUAGAGGCAGUUUGGAGUCAUAUUCCAAUGUCGCUUUAUUCAAGAAGCGGUGGGAAUUCUUAGGGAAUGUUUCUGUUCUCAACUGGAUUUCACUUCUCAGAUCACCUGGGCUUUACUGAUCCUCUGCACGGAACACUCUGUUCCUGCCACACACCAGUGUGCCCAGAAACCACUGCUUCCUCACAAGUCAUUUAAGAGUCAAAAUCUGUAUCUGCAAUUGCUUGAAGUUCAGAUUUUACAAAGACAUCUCCCCAGAAAUGGCUAUGGGGGUUAGCGUCCCUUGAAUACUUUGUGCUGAGCCCGCCACCAGCACCUUCCUGCUUAUGGUCGGCACCUUUUCCACAUUCACAGCUCCAUGUCAAUCUCUGAGCAGGAUCUCUGUGCUCUGCCCAUACUGAGGCUUUCAGUGAGGUUUACAUCCAGUUCAGUUCCUUUUGGGAAGAAAUAACUUCCAGAUUGAGUCCAAACUGAAUGGGAUUUCCCUGGAUUCAAGGGUAAAUGCAUAUGGAAAUUUGACAGAUACUGUCAAAAUGCCUCUAAGAGGGGUUUAUCAAUGUUCCCCAAAAAUGUGGAGGGUGCCCAUUUCCUCACAACCUCACCAGCAGAGACAGAAAUCUUUUUCCUGUGGGUAUCUCAGUGUCCUGCAGCAUCUUCACAUGGCAGCCACCAUGCGAACUUCAUCAUCUCUUCAGAUGCUGAUCGCUCCUCUCAGAUGCACUUUUCCUUUUCAAUUUAAUUCAAAGAAUUGAAUUGAGAAC